GACAGAAACUGUUCUAGGAACACUUGGGUACACACCACCAGAGUACAUAAAGGAUGGUUUGAUCUCAAUUAAGUUUGAUAUAUUCAGUUUGGGUGUCGUGAUCAUAAAGAUAAUGACCGGACGAGAGGGCUACUUCCAAAUUGAUGAUAUGUCUUCCCAAAAAUUCAUUGAGCUCGUACAUAUGGACUGGAUGAAUAGGCUACAAGCGAUAUCAGUGCACGUAUAUUCUGUACAAAUAAGGAGAUGCAUCGAAAUAGCUUUAAGUUGUGUGGAGGCUGAUCGACACAAAAGGCCAAGUAUUGGGUUAAUCGUCAGUACUCUUAAUAAGACGGAAUCUUGUGCCCAGAUCUUGGAUGCAUUAAGAAAUGACUCAGCCUCAUCGAUUAACCAGGUGCGACCCCUAAUGACAAGAUUUAUCUUUUUAUGCGAUAUUGGAUAAAGGUAUACGCGAGUUAA
Molecule: non-coding RNA, 456 nt
Organism: Lolium perenne
Lineage: Eukaryota; Viridiplantae; Streptophyta; Magnoliopsida; Poales; Poaceae
Source: RefSeq, a predicted model, not a curated record